AUUGAACGCUGGCGGCAGGCCUAACACAUGCAAGUCGAGCGGGGGUAGCAAUACCCUAGCGGCGAACGGGUGAGGAAUGCUUGGGAAUCUGCCUCGUAGUGGGGGAUAACGUUCCGAAAGGAACGCUAAUACCGCAUACGUCCUACGGGAGAAAGGGGGGGAGUCUUCGGACCUCUCGCUAUGAGAUGAGCCCAAGCGGGAUUAGCUAGUUGGUGAGGUAAAGGCUCACCAAGGCUACGAUCCCUAGCUGGUCUGAGAGGAUGAUCAGCCACACUGGAACUGAGACACGGUCCAGACUCCUACGGGAGGCAGCAGUGGGGGAAUAUUGGACAAUGGGCGAAAGCCUGAUCCAGCCAUGCCGCGUGUGUGAAGAAGGCCUCGGUUGUAAGCACUUUAAGUCGAGGAGGAAGAUGAUGACUGUACCUGGAGAA
RNAcentral lists this ribosomal RNA (431 nucleotides) under uncultured bacterium. RNAcentral's name for it is "bacterial SSU rRNA". It matches the Rfam family "Bacterial small subunit ribosomal RNA", at positions 30 to 486 of the family's 1533-position model. The record is from RNAcentral.